RNAcentral lists this long non-coding RNA (2456 nucleotides) under Gallus gallus (chicken). RNAcentral describes it as "long non-coding RNA NONGGAT008570". Lineage: Eukaryota; Metazoa; Chordata; Aves; Galliformes; Phasianidae. The record is from RNAcentral.
UCUGUAUUAAUUUUAUUUGCAAAAGUUUAUUACACCAGAAUGCAAUUUAACUUAAAAGAUUGGCUUUACUAAGACGCUUUCCUGAGGCUCUCAGGAAAGAAGUUGUAACCUACAGAUCUUGACUAUUUUUGCACUUUUAAAUGUCUAGCGCUUAUUUUACAUCAAACACUUUCAAAAACAUGUUUUACAAACUACACUUCAGACAUAUUUCCAUAGAAGUGCCUACAUCAGUCAAUUAAAAGAAGGACCCCAUUGUUAAGCAUCAUUUAUGUGGGCAUUGUUAUGUGAAAGCUCAUGUGAUGGUAUUUGUUUUAGAAAUAGAAUGUUUUAGAAUGUGUUGGUUGUUUUUUGUUUUUGGUUGUGUUUUUUUUUUAGAAAAAUAGCAUGCUGCCUUCUGUUUUUUGAGAGAAGUAGCUGCCAGUGCACAGAAUGUUGCAAUCUUUUCAAGAAGCUAAAACCCGAUGCUCAGCAUGCCUAUCAGAAAUUUCUAAACGGGUGGCUGUUUUACCCCAGUACCCCAGCAACGGUGCUUGGGGUACAAGACCUUCACUUAUAAUUCAAACUUUAAAUUUCAUUUUUAAGUAAAGAACCACUUUUAAAAAAAGUUUCAAGUAUAGAAAGCUAGAAGAAUUAGCUGCCGUAAUGUAGUAAAGCUCAUUAAAAACCCCCAAGCUAAAAUGCUAAUAGAAAGGACACCUAUUUCUUUUUUGCUUUUAGUGUCUGUUGCUGUCUGAUGUUAUACUAGAACACAGGCCUGGGAGUUAACUCAGUGAUAUUGAGAAUGACAUGGUGAUUGACAUAUGCAAAGAAAAGAUGUGGUAGAGUUGCUUCAAGGAUUUUACUGUUCUUUGUUGUUUUUACCCCAUGCUUUUGGAUAAGUCUUUUAUUUAAUGUUUGCCCGUAUACGAUUGCUGUUGCAAAUCAACAUUUCUUCUUUGCAGGAAGUUCAUGCUGGUUUUAAAACAUUUCAAGCAACAGAAUUUAUUUUAUGAGCUAACAUGACCAAACAUGUAGUACAUAGGCAUAUGUUUUCCCAUCCUUGCUCUGGGGAUAUCUUCAUUUCCUAUUUUCUGUAUUUUUUUUCUCCUAUAUCUUGUUUUCUUUUGCCCUUUAGGAAAAAAAAAAAAAUGUCCUUAUCAGUAUAUCUCUUGCCUUCUUCCCUCUUUUUCUCUAAAUUGACCUUUCUGUCUUCCCCUCACUCAUCCCAGGGUAUAUCUGCCCAUGCCUCAAGACAAAGGGUUAUCUUGACCCUCAUAGUAUAACAGUGGUGUUAAUUUGUACCUUCCACCAUUUUUCCUGCCAGUAAAGAAAAGCUAAUCCAGUCUUCAUGGCUUACUGCAAAUGGGCACAGUUAGAAAUGAAUUACAUGUAAGACAAAUUUAUUUAACUUAGUUCUUCUUGAAAUUCAUAAAAAUACCUCAAGAAAACGGAAGUGUAACAACUAAGAUUCAAAUGACAAUGAUUUAAUAAGUAAAUGGAGUUGUGCUAACCCUGGGUGAAGGAUUAUCAUCUUCUCAUCUGAGAAUAAUACAGAGGAUAGUGAACAUGGUUCUCCAGGCAGUGAGACCUUCUGCAUACUGGGGGUCCUCCUAACCACAAAGAAUAUACAACAGUAGAGCAGUACGCAUCUUUUUUUUUCCCCUCUAUAAAAUUCACUCAGUUUCCGUAAAAGGGUACUUUUCAUUCAUUAUUUAUAUUAGAAUAAACAAACUGCAGGUGUAGUUCGAAGAAAACUUUUUUUCCUUAGGCGAUGUUUUUUCUGCUUUCCUUAAUCUUAGAUAUUUAUCCGGUGCUAGGCUGUGCCAUAUCGAGCAUGACUUUCAUCCUCUGGAUCUACAGACAUCAAGAGAGAUAGGAGGAUCCCCUUCCACGUCUGCAGCUUAUGGGGGUAGGUUUACUUUCUGUUUGUGUGUAUGGCAAAGGAGGAGGGCCUAUAGAGAGACCCUACAUUCCUGAUUACUGUUUAUUCAGAGCCAGUGAGGGGAUGACAUUUUUUCACCACAGUUCCAAUUUGCGUGCUGACGUUAAGUGAAAAAUAAAAUCAACUCUUCUUCCAGGAUAAAGGACCGAUAGCACAGAGGACAUUAGUGUUGCAUUUAGACUCAUAUAAAGUAGUUUUUAAUGAAAAAGCCUUACUGUAAAACAAACUUUUUCCUGGACACUAGUUUUCAGGGAGGAAGGAAGAAACAAGAAUGAGAAGACUAUUUCUGCAGAACAUCGAGAUAUUUCAUGAAUCACAUGCUCUUACUGAGGAAGAAGAGACAGCGAAAAGGAAGCAAUGAUGAAGAACUCAAGCAUGUGUUCCUUCAGACAUCUUUACAACUAAACAUCACUUAUUUAUCACUUCAUAAGGUUUGUGCUUUGGAUUGCAUGCCACUUCGAGAAAAUGGACAGUUAAUUAUUAGCACAUGUACUGAUUACUGAGAACAGCAAAAUUAAGGUAUACUUUUAAAAAG